Molecule: ribosomal RNA, 444 nt
Filed under: uncultured bacterium
Lineage: Bacteria
Description: bacterial SSU rRNA
Rfam family: Bacterial small subunit ribosomal RNA
Source: RNAcentral
GUACGGGAGGCAGCAGGGGGGAAUAUUGGUCAAUGGGGGAAACCCUGAACCAGCAAUGCCGCGUGAAGGAAGAAGGCCUUCGGGUUGUAAACUUCUGUGACAGGGGACGAAGAAAGUGACGGUACCCUGAGAGGAAGCCCCGGCAAACUACGUGCCAGCAGCCGCGGUAAUACGUAGGGGGCGAGCGUUGUCCGGAAUUACUGGGCGUAAAGGGCGCGUAGGCGGUUGUGCAAGUCGUCUGUGAAAUACCGAGGCUUAACCUUGGGGGUGCAGACGAAACUGCAUGGCUUGAGUGCGGUAGAGGUAAGUGGAAUUCCUAGUGUAGCGGUGAAAUGCGUAGAUAUUAGGAGGAACACCAGUGGCGAAGGCGACUUACUGGGCCGUAACUGACGCUGAGGCGCGAAAGCGUGGGGAGCAAACAGGAUUAGAUACCCCUGUAGUCCA